Non-coding RNA from Podarcis lilfordi (Lilford's wall lizard), 76 nucleotides. Lineage: Eukaryota; Metazoa; Chordata; Lepidosauria; Squamata; Lacertidae. The record is from the annotation of a GenBank genome assembly.
GGGAAGGACUUUAGUUAAGUGGUAGAGCAUCUGCUUUGCAUGCAGAAGGUCCCAGGUUUGAGCUCUGACCUCCUCA